Molecule: ribosomal RNA, 320 nt
Filed under: uncultured Allapsidae
Lineage: Eukaryota; Cercozoa; Glissomonadida; Viridiraptoridae
Description: bacterial SSU rRNA
Rfam family: Eukaryotic small subunit ribosomal RNA
Source: RNAcentral
GAUUUCUGACAUAACAUGUUUGGUCCGCCGGCUCUGCUGGUAGGUGCUUUGACAUGUGUGUCAUCCUUCCAGAAAACGGCUGGUGCUCUUAACUGGGUGCUAGUUUGUGAUCUGGAUCUAUUACUUUGAAAAAAUUAGAGUGUUUAAAGCAGGCGUUUGCCUUGAAUACAUUAGCAUGGAAUAAUAAUUUAGGACUUUUGUUCUAAUUUGUUGGUUUAGGACGAAAGUAAUGAUUGAUAGGGAUAGUUGGGGGUGCUAGUAUUCAGUGGCCAGAGGUGAAAUUCUUGGAUUCACUAAAGACUAACUUAUGCGAAAGCAUU